This 238-nucleotide unclassified non-coding RNA is filed under the name uncultured SAR86 cluster bacterium. RNAcentral describes it as "16S-23S ribosomal RNA intergenic spacer". Lineage: Bacteria; Pseudomonadati; Pseudomonadota; Gammaproteobacteria. The record is from RNAcentral.
AACGAUAAUUUCGCGUUUUAAACGCCCACACGAGUAAUCAAAUAGUAAAAAAAGAACAUUUAGUUAUGUAAAAUCAUUGGUAUGUAAUUUUCUAGUGUAUACAUUUAUGUAUACAUAAGAUCACUGCAAUUAAAAAGUAACGUAUGCAUUUAUGUAUGCGUUAAAAAGUAAUUAAUAUAUUUUAUUAAGUUACUCUCAAAUGAAGAUAAAACUUCGUUAAAAAAUAAUAACCUUUUUU